GCUGCUCCCGGAACACCGCUCCUGGAGCGAUUGUUUCAAUGUUGCUUGCUCGGAAUGGCCCUCCUGAGCAAACAACAGACGGUGCUCAAAGUAACAACUGGACUUAAUAAAAGGAGCUUACACGAAGGAGGAGCUGAAGGCUGCUGUGGUCGUGUGCUGGGGGCUGCCCCAGCUCCAGCUGCAGGACCCCGGCCGUCUGCCUUCCGACUCCGGUGAUGAUUCUUCCUGCGGUCUGAAAUCUUAAAAGUUUGAGAAGAAAAUAUGGUAAAUAACUAAGAGAAAUCUCUGGUCAAUACUCAACAAGUCCUUCAGUCCAACAAUAUUCCAUACAUGAAAUCCUGCCAAAAACCAGACUCAGCACCAAACACACGAGAUGAAACAUAAGAUGCAUAAACACAACCCUUGCCUUUGAAGAAAAUUUGCACUAAUGGCAGAGAUGGGUGCUGUAUGAGUGAGCUGUGGCUGCCAUAGCAAGACAUCAUAGAUUGGAUGGCUUAAACAACAGAAAUUUAUUUUUUCACAGUUCUGGAGGCCAGAAAUCCCCAAUAAAGGUACUGACUGAU
Molecule: long non-coding RNA, 563 nt
Filed under: Homo sapiens (human)
Lineage: Eukaryota; Metazoa; Chordata; Mammalia; Primates; Hominidae
Description: long independently transcribed non-coding RNA 3216, transcript variant 1 (LINC03216)
Source: RNAcentral